RNAcentral lists this long non-coding RNA (460 nucleotides) under Coturnix japonica (Japanese quail). RNAcentral's name for it is "lncRNA (ENSCJPG00005004010.1)". Lineage: Eukaryota; Metazoa; Chordata; Aves; Galliformes; Phasianidae. The record is from RNAcentral.
CUCAAGAAUGCUCCCCUGCUGUGAUCUGUUUGGGCUGGGUAUGAUGAGAUGGGGUGGGACUGGAUUUGAUGAGAUGGAAUGUGCACUGGAGUGAAGAUUCAGGAGUACUGCUUGCUGUUUGUCCUUCUGUUCCUUCUGAUGGCAGUUGCUUUCUAGUGCCUACUAAAUGAGGGAUCAACUCAUGGUGUCCAGCUAUAUGUCCUGUCUCUUUUCUUAUAAAACUAUUCCUGAACACCAUUUGUUGCAUCCCUGCCUCUGCCCUGGUGGAAGCACUGCUGCACUCCAGGUCUCCUCUACCCUCUCUCCUCCAGGAAUUGAGAAAUGUAACAUUUGGCUGCUUCUCUUACACCUUGCUUCAUCACAUCAGUCUGGUUGUUUGAAACUAAUAUCAGGUACUACUUGUUUUGAUAGCACGUAUUGUACUGCUGCCAGGAACUGUUCAUCAGAAAAUGGACUGUGA